GGCCCGGCACCCCUACGGGGGGCAGCAGUGGGGAAUAUGGGGCAAUGGGCCGAAAGGCUGACCCAGCAACGCCGCGUGGUGGAUGAAGCCCUUCGGGGUGGUAAACACCUUUUUUGGGGGAAGAUAAUGACGGUACCCCAGGAAUAAGGGACGGCUAAAUACGUGCCAGCAGCCGCGGUAAUACGUAGGUCCCGAACGUUGCGCGAAAUUACUGGGCGUAAAGGGUCCGUAGGCGGUCUGGUAAGUGGAAGGUGAAAUCCUACGGCUCAACCGUAGAAUUGCCUUCCAAACUGCUGGACUUGAGGCAGGGAAAGGU
Molecule: ribosomal RNA, 316 nt
Filed under: uncultured Aquificaceae bacterium
Lineage: Bacteria; Pseudomonadati; Aquificota; Aquificia; Aquificales; Aquificaceae
Description: bacterial SSU rRNA
Rfam family: Bacterial small subunit ribosomal RNA
Source: RNAcentral